RNAcentral lists this transfer RNA (74 nucleotides) under Jeotgalicoccus halotolerans. Its description in RNAcentral is "tRNA-Gly". It matches the Rfam family "tRNA". Rfam says of the family: Transfer RNA (tRNA) molecules are approximately 80 nucleotides in length. Their secondary structure includes four short double-helical elements and three loops (D, anti-codon, and T loops). Lineage: Bacteria; Bacillati; Bacillota; Bacilli; Caryophanales; Staphylococcaceae. The record is from RNAcentral. RNAcentral also lists the same sequence under 7 other names.
GCGGGUAUAGUUAAAUGGUAUAACCUCAGCCUUCCAAGCUGAUGUUGUCGGUUCGAUCCCGUCUACCCGCUCCA